This is a long non-coding RNA of Canis lupus familiaris (dog), 607 nucleotides long. RefSeq lists it as uncharacterized. The record is from RefSeq and is a predicted model, not a curated record. The transcript is spliced from 5 exons. Lineage: Eukaryota; Metazoa; Chordata; Mammalia; Carnivora; Canidae.
AAAAGUGACCCCAGAGAGCCCCCUCACUCUUCUGUCAAGGGAGGAUACAGCAAGAAGAAAGCUGUAAGCCAGGAAGUGGACCCUUACUGAACAAUAAACCUACUGGCACCUGAUCUUGGAGUUCCCAGCCUCCAGAACUAGAUGCAAGUGUUCUCUUCAUUCCCUGUACCGAAGCUGGGCACUACACAGUGAUAUAUAACCAACCACACUCACACAUUGCACAGGUCUCCAGCACUCCCACUAGACUCAACGAGGGCAGAAGGCAUUCCUCCUUCAAAACCUAGCAUUGGUGAAAGGGACUGGUCGUUGUGCUCUCUGGACAUAUAUAUAUUAUUUUAUUUUCACCCACGUUAUUUAUCUUGGAGAUGUCUUGUACUUAAACAAAGGUCUUCGGGAGGACAGCAUGUCUUCGACUCCUGCCAAGUCAACAGGUGAAAGCAGUAAAGUAAAUCCUAUACCUAGUGAUUAUCUCUCCUCCAGCCUGAUGUACAUAUGAUUAAUUCUCCACUGUUCCGCCCGCUUUGCAUCUGGUGACACUUCUUAUAAGGACACAUGUGCCCUGGAAGGAGGCCUACUAAAAAAAUAAUAAAUAGCCGCUCACAUCCUA